Molecule: ribosomal RNA, 222 nt
Filed under: uncultured bacterium
Lineage: Bacteria
Description: partial 16S ribosomal RNA
Rfam family: Bacterial small subunit ribosomal RNA
Source: RNAcentral
GAGUACGGCGUGGAUUAUCUGCCCUGAGGUGGGGGAUAACCCGGGGAAACUCGGGCUAAUACCGCAUAUGACCGUGAGGUCAAAGGGGGGUCGCAAGAUCUCUCGCCAUAGGAGGAGUCCGCGUCCGAUUAGCUAGUUGGUAGGGUAAUGGCCUACCAAGGCGACGAUCGGUAGCCGGCCUGAGAGGGUGAUCGGCCACACUGGAACUGAGACACGGUCCAG